CAGAACGGUAACAGGCCUGAAUGGCAAUGGCGGCUACUAGCGCAGCUACCAUUCGCCGCCAUGCGUCCGUUGACAGGUUGGAAUAGAUGGUGCCAGUGGUAGCAUCCAUCCUUUCACCUGUGUGCGUCGGUGAUGGGGUUUGCGGGUGCGUGGUGAGAGAGGGGGACAGGUGCACGCUAUCAUGAACCAGGCUAAAUUCGUAAUAAUUCGCCCCCCAUGCGCCACAAACCCCACCCAACCUGAAACCCCUUAGUUCCCCAGAUCCAUUUCCACGUCUGAAGGCGGGUUCGUGUGUCGGUUGUGACAGAGCGAGGUGAGCCCGAGCGCGAAGCCCAGCUGGCGCUACAACCUUUGGGUCAAAAGUCAACGAUAGCCGCUGCGGGCCAGGCGCGUGGCCUCGCUGGGUCGCUGGUUGCACCCAGCAUGGCGUUUCGCAAGCUUAACUGGUUUUGGUUGCAAGUUCCUUCGCGGCGAUGCUCCAAUUGCGCCCUAUGCACUGGUUGCAGGUCGUCGGCGGUGUUCCGGCGUCAUGCUUCCGUGGCAAAAUGUAUGAUGCGCUCCGGUCAUCGAGUCGCAUGUGCCGGAGGGACCAAUAGCAGGCAGCGCAGCUUAGAAUUGCAAUCGGUGAGUAUAUGUAGACAGCCACUACUAACGUGUAUCAUUAGCGACCAGUCAUACUUGUGGCGCGUCGGCACGCCGCACGCGUGCCCGCCGUCACUCACCCCAAAGGGGUCUGUUCCCGACACUCGCGCCAGCCGUACCGAUGCGCCAGCAUUUCGCGCAACCAUACCAUCUGACGGAGCGCUAUGCGCAAUCAUCGCUUACCGAAUGCCGGCUCAGGUUCCUAUCCGCAACUGCUCCAUCCCCACUAAGUUACGGUACUCACUUCCCCUCCUUCACACCCUUUCCUGCCUGCCUCCACCCUCAGCGAAACUUCUUGGCCGGCCAGUGCCCGCCCGCCUUCAGCACCGCCGGCAACGUGUGUGCCAGCAUCCGCUUCAUACAGUCACGCACAAACUGUGGCGUGAUGACCUUCUGAACCACCUUCUCCAUCUCGUCCAGGUAGGGCUGCAGGGGGUCCUCGCCAGCCUCGGUGGGCCGCCGUGCGUUGCAGAACUGCCGCAUGACGAGGGCAACGGCCGCGUGCGACUGCUCCACUGGGCAGUGCAUGUCGCCGCUGUACGUGGGAAGCUUCAUGAAAUUGGCCUUAGUGACGCCCACACCACGGAAGUCAGCAAUCUCGCCGUUGCCGUGGCAUGCCGGGUUGUCCCAUGACACGUAGGGCUUGAUAGGGGCCACGGGCGGGGGUGGCGGCGGCUUCCUCUUACCCCGCCGGCCCUGCUUCUGCGCGGCCUUCACCGCCGCGGUUUGCUUUGCAGCCAGCCUUGCAGCCUUCUCCCGGAACGCGCCCAGCAUGCGCCCUAUGUACUUAACAAACUCCGCCUUCGUGAUGAACCUUGCAUCCUUCCCCGCCAGGGUCUGCGGUGGUGACAGGCAGUGGCGGGCGGCAGCUUGAGCAUGGCGCGUGGAGGACACAACCGGCGGCGCUUCCCACCCUCUGUGGCAGCGCGAUACAGCCCCCUGAACCGGGAGCCGCUAAACGCACGGGGGACAGAUGACCGGCGGCCCGUGCUGUGGAGGCUGCAGUGUGGGUGCUUUGUCUACAAGGCACGGCACACAGUGGCUAACAGUAUUCGGCGAUGUGCCCCGCACGCACCCAGCUGCUUCAACUGCACCUAUCACACCUCCGGCCGAGGUGCAAGUGAGGCCGCACAGCGCGCGUUUCGCAUGCUGAUUGACCUUGCGCGGCGGCUGGGGGAGGCGUGUACGGUGGUGUGGGAGGCGCGGGUGGUUGAGGGGUGUGGCCCCUUCGACUUUUGGCUGUGGGAGUGGGGUGUGGUGGUUGAAGUGGAUGGCAUGCAGCACACGGAUACCCCGCAUCACGGCACGGAAGCGCAAGCACAGUGGCUGGUGGAUCGGUGGAAGGAAGCAGCUGCUGUUCGCAAGCGGCUGCAUGUGGCGCGGUUGCAUGUGAUGGACAUGGUGUGCUGGGAGGCCGUGGUUGCGCGUGCACUGUGUGCUGCUCGUAACGGCAUUCCGCCGUGCGUGCACUACAGCGACUACUACCUGCGGCCUGUGAUUACACAGUCAUGAGCUCCCAACGCACCUGGUACUGUAGCUCGGGUGGCGGCGUGUAGGCCCUGCCUGUGGUGCCGGCAACAGGCUCCCAUCGCACGACGCCGAAGGCAGGGCACACGGUGAUGAUGUACUUGAUGGUGUUGGGUCGUGAUGAUCCGCAGCGGUAGUCCUCAAUGGUGAUGCUCUGCCCGCGCGGGCCUGCAGUCCAGGCGGUGUAGUCGGUUGGGUUGCAGAUGAAGGUCUUUUCGUCGGUCAUGGCGAAACCGUUGAAGAUGGUUAAGUUGAGCCAUGCGUCGCUUUCAAACUCCGCUGUGCCAAUGUCUGGUGGCAAGGGAAAGGCGCCAUCGCUGACACCGUACUCCCUUUCAGCCUCCACGGCUGAGACCAUCUUCACGCCUGGAGCAUUGGGGUUGACAAGCUUGCGCAACCACGCUGCUGAGCGGUCCAGCCGGUCACCCCACUGCUCGGGGCUGAGGAAGGGGCGGUGCUCCACCUUUAAGUUCUUUUGGAGGGUUGGAUCGUAGUGUUGCAUGGAGCGCCACAGGGAUUUGAAAGUGAUCUUGUGGGAUUUGAGAACGUCUUGAAAGGGCGCGUCGUGCUCGUACUUGGCGGCAGAGUCAUAGUGGACGCUCUUGACGUGGUCGACCAGGGUUUUCAGGAUGGGGUCCGACACCGUGCGCGGCCGGCCUGGGCGUGGCUUGGGCUCUGUCCCGCCAGUGUGCACGUAGCGCACGUACCACUUCUUAAUCUGCUCUGCCAUAUGCUUGGGUGAUGCCUCCCAUGGUGUGUAAUCAACUGGCUGCGGGAAGAUCUCUGGGCAUGCCUCGCGUGCCUUGAACUCCGCCACGGCAAUGGGGCCCCAGCGCUGAGGUGUGGUGCCACGUGUGGUAAGCCCAGAACGGUAACAGGCCUGAAUGGCAAUGGCGGCUACUAGCGCAGCUACCAUUCGCCGCCAUGCGUCCGUUGACAGGUUGGAAUAGAUGGUGCCAGUGGUAGCAUCCAUCCUUUCACCUGUGUGCGUCGGUGAUGGGGUUUGCGGGUGCGUGGUGAGAGAGGGGGACAGGUGCACGCUAUCAUGAACCAGGCUAAAUUCGUAAUAAUUCGCCCCCCAUGCGCCACAAACCCCACCCAACCUGAAACCCCUUAGUUCCCCAGAUCCAUUUCCACGUCACUGUGUCGCACAAUUCCGCCGACCUUUGCGCACCCCAGCAUAUGUGUGCCCGCGGUUUCCAAUGCUCUAUUGAAUGCACCAAAAGCCAGCCCAGGCCCUGCGUCCUAGGGCCCAAACGAGCUCCUCCGUACAAUGUUUGCUCGCACACUCCGGCGCACGCGAUUAGGUGUCGCGCGCUACUGUAUGGUAGCCCUUGUGUCGCACAAGUGGUUGGAGCGUGUUUGGGGUGAGUUGGCGCGGCAGGGUGGUGUCGCGCCCAUGCUGCCCCGCUUGCGGGGCUUGUUCCCGGCCGGUCUCUGAUGGCUAUGGUGUAGUCCUAUGAAUUAUCUGUGCGCGGGUUGGUGCCCGGCGAAUUUCUGUUGCAUGGGGCCUGCGCGCAUGGCGUGCCCCUCGGGGGGUAAUCGCGCUCGGAUCACAUAAGGGCCGCUCGAACUAAAAUUUGCCACUCAUACAAUAAUUACAGCUACUGUAUGUCUACUCGCCCAUGUGUAGCACGCUUGGGCGCUAGCUCGCAUUUGAGAGAACCAACACCCUUGCUCCCCCCAUUUUCGUCAAAACCAACAUUCUGCAAAUUGAUACUGUAGUUCUCACUCUGAGUAGCAGCUACGGCUGUCGUUCCCGUGGUUGAGAGCCCUUACCGUUGUGGUUCUACUGUGGAGGCAGCGGGCGUAGCGACCGGGCGCAAGCAGCCGAGCGGGCGGUGGAGAACCAGUCGCAAAAGUCUGCGGAAUUGUGGGAUCCAGUGAAGGCGGGUUCGUGUGUCGGUUGUGACAGAGCGAGGUGAGCCCGAGCGCGAAGCCCAGCUGGCGCUACAACCUUUGGGUCAAAAGUCAACGAUAGCCGCUGCGGGCCAGGCGCGUGGCCUCGCUGGGUCGCUGGUUGCACCCAGCAUGGCGUUUCGCAAGCUUAACUGGUUUUGGUUGCAAGUUCCUUCGCGGCGAUGCUCCAAUUGCGCCCUAUGCACUGGUUGCAGGUCGUCGGCGGUGUUCCGGCGUCAUGCUUCCGUGGCAAAAUGUAUGAUGCGCUCCGGUC
Molecule: long non-coding RNA, 4342 nt
Filed under: Chlamydomonas reinhardtii
Lineage: Eukaryota; Viridiplantae; Chlorophyta; Chlorophyceae; Chlamydomonadales; Chlamydomonadaceae
Description: long non-coding RNA (CREI_LNC000908)
Source: RNAcentral